RNAcentral lists this ribosomal RNA (1143 nucleotides) under Enterococcus faecium. Its description in RNAcentral is "partial 16S ribosomal RNA". It matches the Rfam family "Bacterial small subunit ribosomal RNA", at positions 290 to 1428 of the family's 1533-position model. The record is from RNAcentral. Lineage: Bacteria; Bacillati; Bacillota; Bacilli; Lactobacillales; Enterococcaceae.
ACCUGAGAGGGUGAUCGGCCRCRUUGGGACUGAGACACGGCCCAAACUCCUACGGGAGGCAGCAGUAGGGAAUCUUCGGCAAUGGACGAAAGUCUGACCGAGCAACGCCGCGUGAGUGAAGAAGGUUUUCGGAUCGUAAAACUCUGUUGUUAGAGAAGAACAAGGAUGAGAGUAACUGUUCAUCCCUUGACGGUAUCUAACCAGAAAGCCACGGCUAACUACGUGCCAGCAGCCGCGGUAAUACGUAGGUGGCAAGCGUUGUCCGGAUUUAUUGGGCGUAAAGCGAGCGCAGGCGGUUUCUUAAGUCUGAUGUGAAAGCCCCCGGCUCAACCGGGGAGGGUCAUUGGAAACUGGGAGACUUGAGUGCAGAAGAGGAGAGUGGAAUUCCAUGUGUAGCGGUGAAAUGCGUAGAUAUAUGGAGGAACACCAGUGGCGAAGGCGGCUCUCUGGUCUGUAACUGACGCUGAGGCUCGAAAGCGUGGGAGCAAACAGGAUUAGAUACCCUGGUAGUCCACGCCGUAACGAUGAGUGCUAAGUGUUGGARGGUUUCCGCCCUUCAGUGCUGCAGCUAACGCAUUAAGCACUCCGGCUGGGGAGUACGACCGCAAGGUUGAAACUYAAAGGAAUUGACGGGGGCCCGCACAAGCGGUGGAGCAUGUGGUUUAAUUCGAAGCAACGCGAAGAACCUUACCAGGUCUUGACAUCCUUUGACCACUCUAGAGAUAGAGCUUCCCCUUCGGGGGCAAAGUGACAGGUGGUGCAUGGUUGUCGUCAGYUCGUGUCGUGAGAUGUUGGGUUAAGUCCCGCAACGAGCGCAACCCUUAUUGUUAGUUGCCAYCAUUCAGUUGGGCAYUCUASCAAGACUGCCGGUGACAAMCCGGAGGAAGGUGGGGAUGACGUCAAAUCAUCAUSCCCCUUAUGMCCUGGGCUMCMCACGUGCUMCAAUGGGAAGUACAACGAGUUGCGAAGUCGCGAGGCUAAGCUAAUCUCUUAAAGCUUCUCUCAGUUSGGAUUGCAGGCUGCAACUCSCCUSCAUGAAGCCGGAAUCGCUAGUAAUCGCGGAUCAGCACSCCGCGGUGAAWACGUUCCCGGSCCUUGUACMCACCGCCCGUCACACCAMGRGAGUUUGUAMCACCCGAAGUU